AAAUUAGAACUUAGAAAGAAAAAAAAAACUGGCAGCUCUUUCUUCCGUUUUGCUCUGCUCCCCCCAAAAGUCCAAAACCCUUUUCUCUACUCUCAACUUCUCAACACUCUACAAUCGGAGCAACGAUUUCAACAAACUACAACGCCAACAACCCGAGGUUUCUCUCUCUUUCUCUCAAUUUCAAAGGUUGUCUUUCAAUUUCUUUAAAGAUUGGCUAUGAAUUGUGGAUGUUUCAGAUUACAAAGCAUAUUAGGGAUCCAAUAGGACUUCGUCGGGAAGUAUUUAUAGGCAACUCUCUAAGAAGUUUCGGUCUCCACCUCGACAUGGUUUUGUUUGAGCUGUAUUGUUUGUCUCUUUUUUCUGUCUCACAAGCAAUAUCUAUAGAUUUUUUGAACUAAUUAAUUGAAAUUAGGUUGAUAUGACGAGCCUCCUGAAAAGCGUCGAUUGAGUGUCGCGGUUGUCAAGGUUUUUUCUUCGUUGAGUGAUUGAUUAUGCCCUAAUUUUGUAGUCUGACAUAAAUUGAGGGUUCAAUUUGAAUUUGAAAUUUAUGUUUGAGUUUCAUUGGGGGGGAGUUUACUGGGUAAAAUUUGAUAUAAGAUUGACAGUGGGUGAGCCAAAAUAAAUUCCAAAUCUCCCCCUUUGUCUCUAUAAUUCUAUUCUCUAUGUUUUCUCCAAAACAGUUUCAACCUUUUUUGCUGUAGCAUGUUGGGCGUACAGUUGUUUAGCAAAUUAUCUUUGAUGUACUCUUGUUACCUUCUUCGGUUCUUCCCUGUACAGUGUAGUCUUUUUCUACCUGUCCUUGAAUCCCUCUUUUCUUUUACACCAAUUCAAGUGUUUAAUUGUGUGGUUUCACUUCAUGUCAUUUGUUAAAUUUGAUUGAUCAUGGAAACAGCUACGGAUUAAUAUUUUUGGGGAUAUUUCGUUUUUCUAGGCUCGAAUGUUGCAUUGUUGGGUUGUUCCUUUUUGGUUGGUAGUCGUCCUGAUCUUCUCGUAUGGGGUACUUUUAAAUGGAUGAUGACGGGGAGGUGGUUAAAAGAGAAACCCCUGUUAGUGAAGAGCAAAGUGAGGGACUUUCUACUGGUGUUUCUACUUGGUUGAGUAAUGUUAAAUGUAUGUUUACAAAAGUCUAUAGUUACCUGUCAUAAGCACAAGAUGCAAGUCCCUUCUCAAUCUCAAUGCUAAAUUUCCCAAUUUGGUCAUUAAUUGUGUGAGCUAUAAACAAUCAGUAUAAGUGUGUCGUCGUACUUUUGCACAUCCAUUAUAUAAAAUAAUUAUUAGGUGCAGAAAAACAUUAGCGAAUGCAAAGUAUCUCACUCACAUUUUUGUUGAUUAAUUAGUCAAAAUUAAGAUGUUUUAACAAACAAUAAAUUAAAGUGGUUUAGAUGAUUUAGAAAUAGAAUUAUAUGAUUUCAUGAGUUAUUUUACCGGUUUCUUUAGCUUUAGUCUUUGGUAUCUAAGCUAGUUUAGGAGCUUAAUUUUUAGAUUAUUUUGGCAGUAUGUCAGCCCAACCAAUCAUGGGACUCAUUUCUGUAUUAUAUUAUUCGAUUCACAUGUUUCAGUCGUAGUAAGACAAUAGUCCGUAUGUAAGAGUUAUUUAACAUUUUAUAUGCGGACAGUUCUGCAACUAGGAUGAGAGUAUUCGGUUAUUGACAAUUUGACACCACUGAGUUGUAUAAAAUUCAUAUACAUAUCUUGACUAUAUCAGCAAAGGGAUCUCGAUAAUUAUGAUCCCCUAUUCUAGCUUGGCUGGAGAAGAGAUGCAUGGCAAUCACAAUUUACUCACUGAGUAUCUCUGAUUGGUAAGGACUUGAUAGGAUGACUAAUCCAUAUCACGCUUACUAUACAUACCCCGUCUUAGCUGAAAUUCAAGCUAGAUUAGACAUGGUUAAUGACUUUUUAAGCAAACAUCACAAUAUUUUCUUUUAAGUCUGGUAAAUAACUUUAGUUCUAGUACAAAGUAAUUAUCAUUUAGCACUUUCUUACCAUUCUUUUGCACAUAAACAACGCCAGUCUUGACAUUGUAUAAUGUGUUGUUUUGUUAAUUUUCCGGUUAUGGUCCCUUUCAACUUUACUGAAUUCAUUGACGCUCUUACCAACUUGGUUAAGAACAACUCUAUUAGGAUGAAGCGUGUGGUGCGUGUUGAUGAUGCUGUGAAGAGGAUUCUGCAUGUUAAGUUCAUUAGAGGUCUCUUCAAAACCCUAUGGAUGAUUUUAGUCUGGUUAAUGAGAUAGGAAGCUAGAUUCAUGUUUCAUAUUUAACUUCGCAUGCUCACAAAGACUUAGCAAGAGAGACUGUGAGAAAAUCUCUUAUACUGCUGAAGAAUAGAAAAGGAGAUGACCCAUUGUUGCCCCUUCCUAAAACAACAGUAACGAUACUAGUAACUGGUACACAUGCUCAUAAUUUGGGUUAUCAUUGUGGUGGAUGGACAAUUAAAUGGCAGUGGUUUACAGAUUGAGCAGGAACUACUAUUCUGGAUGCUAUCAAAUCCACACUUUACCCAGGCUUUAGCCGUUUCAAGAAUUUGAUUUUUCUGGGGUAGUAUUUUGUCCUAAUUAAUCACUCAUUUUCCCAGGUGUUUUCCUAUUGCCCAGAUUGUCAGUUUCCAAGUUAUGACAAAAAGCAGAUAGACGAAGAACUCAAUGGGUGCGCCAUGUUGUUCAACAAUUGCAUAUUAGCUAGGUUACGUUGAAGGAACCAACCAAUAUACAACUCUAUUAAUUAAUAUAUUUUGUCUAAUUUAAUGUUCGUGGUCUUAUUUUAGAACAUAUCUAUGUAAUCGUUUUUAUUCGGGUGAUAAUAGCAAAAAAAAAUUCAUUGA
Long non-coding RNA from Spinacia oleracea (spinach), 2819 nucleotides. RefSeq lists it as uncharacterized. Lineage: Eukaryota; Viridiplantae; Streptophyta; Magnoliopsida; Caryophyllales; Amaranthaceae. The transcript has 6 exons. The record is from RefSeq and is a predicted model, not a curated record.